This 452-nucleotide ribosomal RNA is filed under the name uncultured bacterium. Its description in RNAcentral is "bacterial SSU rRNA". It matches the Rfam family "Bacterial small subunit ribosomal RNA", at positions 355 to 825 of the family's 1533-position model. The record is from RNAcentral.
UCGAGAAUCUUCCGCAAUGGACGAAAGUCUGACGGAGCGACGCCGCGUGAUGGAUGAAGUCCCUCUGGGACGUAAACAUCUUUUAUGAGGGAGAAAGUUUAUUGAUAGUACCUCACGAAUAAGGGGUUGCUAAACUCGUGCCAGCAGCAGCGGUAAUACGAGUGCCCCGAGCGUUAUCCGGAAUCAUUGGGCGUAAAGGGUGUGUAGGUGGCAUUGUUAGUCACACGUUAAACUCUGGGGCUUAACCCCAGAUCUGCGUGUGAUACGGCAAAGCUAGAGGAUGGCAGGGAUGUAUGGAACUCAUGGAGUAGGGGUGAAAUCCGUUGAUAUCAUGGGGAACACCGAAAGCGAAGGCAGUACAUUGGGCCACUCCUGACACUGAAACACGAAAGCGUGGGUAGCGAAUGGGAUUAGAUACCCGUGUAGUCCCUGAGCGGGCUGGCAAGGCGCAU